CCGAGCGGCCGCCCGAGUCGGCGGGCGGCAGCCAGCGCAGCCUCAGCGCCAGCGGCGAGCGGCUCAGGCUGUACUGCAGCAUCUACUGUGAGUCAGGUGCUCUGGGGCUAGGAUCUAGAGACAGAGUGAAUGAAACAGACCAGGAUCCUACUGUCCACUGGUGCAGACACCUUCCUCCCAUGUCACAAGGAGAAGAGAGGCUGUCAGUUGACAUACUUGCUGGACAGCAAGAAGGAGGAGCGGCUGGGAAGAGUUGGGAUCCUUUGCCGGUAAAAAGAAAGGUCAUCAGGAGGGGCUGAGGCUCAGACACCACAGGACACCGAAGCCCGCUGAGAAAGCAGAAGGAGGUGUGGCAUCCAGCUGUUCUUAGAUGCAGAUCCGGAAAGUACAUUCAUCCUGGCUAGACAGAGAAGGUCAUCUCCUCCAUGGAGAAGACUAAGAUUGCUUCAGAGAAUCAGGGCCAAUCCCUCUCCUCAGAAAAGAGGACAAGGAAGGAGCAAAGAACAGUGGCAAGCCCUACUGCUCAAAGGGACAUUUCCAAUUUGUCUCUUCCCUCUUCCAGUCUAUCUCCUACUCCCCAGCUUAAGAAAAAUAAACAUCCCCAAGGUGAA
Molecule: long non-coding RNA, 611 nt
Organism: Acinonyx jubatus (cheetah)
Lineage: Eukaryota; Metazoa; Chordata; Mammalia; Carnivora; Felidae
Exons: 4
Source: RefSeq, a predicted model, not a curated record